Molecule: ribosomal RNA, 699 nt
Filed under: uncultured bacterium
Lineage: Bacteria
Description: bacterial SSU rRNA
Rfam family: Bacterial small subunit ribosomal RNA
Source: RNAcentral
AGAGUUUGAUCCUGGCUCAGAAUGAACGCUGGCGGCGUGGAUAAGACAUGCAAGUCGAACGAAAAGUGAUUUAGUUUACUAAUGAUCUUUUAGUGGCGGACGGGUUAGUAACGCGUGAGCAACCUGCCUUAAAGAGGGGGAUAGUCCUGGGAAACUGGGUUUAAUACCGCAUAAGCUCUACGGAGUAAAGUGGCCUUCGGGUCACGCUUUAAGAUGGGCUCGCGUCCUAUCAGCUUGUUGGUGAGGUAAAAGCUCACCAAGGCGACGACGGGUAGUUGGUCUGAGAGGACGAUCAGCAACACUGGAACUGAGACACGGUCCAGACACCUACGGGUGGCAGCAGUCGAGAAUCAUUCACAAUGGACGAAAGUCUGAUGGUGCAACGCCGCGUGUGGGAUGAAGGCCUUAGGGUCGUAAACCACUGUCAUGUGAGAGUAAGACAUAUUAGUUAAUACCUAGUAUGUUUGAUAGUAUCACAAGAGGAAGGGACGGCUAACUUCGUGCCAGCAGCCGCGGUAAUACGAAGGUCCCGAGCGUUAUUCGGAAUCACUGGGCGUAAAGGGAGCGUAGGCGGCGCGGUAAGUCAGAUGUGAAAUCUCAGAGCUCAACUCUGAAACUGCAUCCGAUACUGCCGUGCUAGAGUAAUGGAGGGGUAACUGGAAUUCUCGGUGUAGCAGUGAAAUGCGUAGAUAUCGAGAG